This 491-nucleotide ribosomal RNA is filed under the name uncultured bacterium. RNAcentral's name for it is "partial 16S ribosomal RNA". It matches the Rfam family "Bacterial small subunit ribosomal RNA", at positions 29 to 506 of the family's 1533-position model. The record is from RNAcentral.
AGUGAACGCUGGCGGUAGGCCUAACACAUGCAAGUCGAACGGCAGCACAGUAAGAGCUUGCUCUUACGGGUGGCGAGUGGCGGACGGGUGAGGGAUACAUCGGAAUCUACUUUUUCGUGGGGGAUAACGUAGGGAAACUUACGCUAAUACCGCAUACGACCUACGGGUGAAAGCAGGGGAUCUUCGGACCUUGCGCGAUUGAAUGAGCCGAUGUCGGAUUAGCUAGUUGGCGGGGUAAAGGCCCACCAAGGCGACGAUCCGUAGCUGGUCUGAGAGGAUGAUGAGCCACACUGGAACUGAGACGCGGCCCAGGCUCCGACGGGAGGCAGCAGUGGGGAAUAGUGGACAAUGGGCGCAAGACUGAUCCAGCCAUAGCGCGUGGGUGAAGAAGGCCUUCGGGUUGUAAAGCCGUUUUGUUGGGAAAGAAAAGCAGCAGGUUAAAACACCGCUGUUCGGACGGUACCCAAAGAAUAGGCACCGGCUACCUCCGU